CAGGUAAAUGGAAGAACAGUCCCUCAGGAUUUCGAAAAUUUUGAAGGACCAAUAAGAGACCGACAAUGCAGAGAUGUAAUAUUUCUUUUGCUGUUUGCGACUUUUUGUGGCUUUCUGGGUUAUGUGAUUUUUCUUGCUGUGGAAAAGGGAGAACCGGAACGAUUGCUGUAUGGUUGUGACAGCUAUGGCAACGUGUGUGGAAAAAAAAAUGUAGAAAUCCCCGGUGCUCAUCAGUCGGGUCAAAACACCGUUGAUAAACCGUACCUUUAUUAUAAUCCUAACCGAACCCCUCCGAGAGAAUGUGUGAAAAGCUGUCCUGGUAGAAAUUACACGUAAGUAUGAGACU
Molecule: long non-coding RNA, 346 nt
Organism: Limulus polyphemus (Atlantic horseshoe crab)
Lineage: Eukaryota; Metazoa; Arthropoda; Merostomata; Xiphosura; Limulidae
Exons: 3
Source: RefSeq, a predicted model, not a curated record